Molecule: transfer RNA, 67 nt
Filed under: Bemisia tabaci
Lineage: Eukaryota; Metazoa; Arthropoda; Insecta; Hemiptera; Aleyrodidae
Description: tRNA-Trp
Source: RNAcentral
AAAAUUUUAAGUUAAGCCAAACUAAUAAUUUUCAAAAUUAUAAUCAAACUUACUAGUUUAAAUUUUA